RNAcentral lists this unclassified non-coding RNA (336 nucleotides) under soil metagenome. Its description in RNAcentral is "partial contains 5.8S ribosomal RNA, internal transcribed spacer 2, and large subunit ribosomal RNA". The stretch from base 1 to 120 matches the Rfam family "5.8S ribosomal RNA", at positions 35 to 154 of the family's 154-position model. The record is from RNAcentral.
GAUGAAGAACGUAGCGAAAUGCGAUACGUAGUGUGAAUUGCAGAAUUCAGUGAAUCAUCGAAUCUUUGAACGCACAUUGCACCUCUCGGUAUUCCGGGAGGUAUGCCUGUUCGAGCGUCAUUUCAACCAUCAAGCUCCCGGGCUUGCGUUGGGGCCCUGCGGCUGCCGCAGGCCCCUAAAACCAGUGGCGGGCUCGCUGUCACACCGAGCGCAGUAGCAUUUCUUCGCUCUGGGCGCGGCGGCGGGCGCUUGCCGUAAAACAUACCACUUUUUAAAGGUUGACCUCGGAUCAGGUAGGAAUACCCGCUGAACUUAAGCAUAUCAAUAAGCGGAGGA